ACUGCCCCUAGAGGCGUUGCAGCGCCUCCACCAUGCCACAGCUCUGUCCUUAGAUGACAGAGAGAAGAGGGGCUAUCUCUAGGUCCAGGGGUCUGGCGUGAACCACCUGACUGACUGCGAGCCCCACAGU
Molecule: small nucleolar RNA, 130 nt
Organism: Echinops telfairi (small Madagascar hedgehog)
Lineage: Eukaryota; Metazoa; Chordata; Mammalia; Afrosoricida; Tenrecidae
Source: Ensembl